CGCACAGCUCAGUAGCACGUGGCUAACCUAACCUUGGGACGGGAGCACCCCCGGGAAACUGGGGCUAAUUUCCGAUAGGUGAAGACUCCUGGAAUGGACCUUCGCCUAAAGGGCGCUUAGGUCAUGCUUCUAGGCGUUGCCCAAGGAUGGGGCCGCGGCCGAUCAGGUUGUUGGUGAGGUAACGGCUCACCAAGCCUUUUACCGGUGCGGGCCGUGGGAGCGGGAGCCCGGAGAUGGGAACUGAGACAAGGUCCCAGGCCCUACGGGGCGCAGCAGUCGCGCAAACUUCGCAAUAAGCGAAAGCUUGACGGGGCCAUCCCGAGUGCCAUCUGCUGAGGAUGGCUUUUACCCAGUAUAGAUAGCUGGGAGAAUAAGGAGAGGGCAAGUCUGGUGUCAGCCGCCGCGGUAAUACCAGCUCUCCGAGUUGUAGGGAUGUUUAUUGGGCCUGAAGCAUCCGUAGCCGGCUGGACAAGUCCCCUGUUAAAUCCAGCGACCAAUCGUUGGUCUGCGGGGGAUACUGUCCGGCUAGGGGGCGGGAGAGGCCGUCGGUAUUCUUGGGGUAGGGGUGAAAUCCUAUAAUCCCAGGAGGACCACCAGUGGCGAAGGCUGUCGGCUAGAACGCGCCCGACGGUGAGGGAUGAAAGCUGGGGGAGCGAACC
RNAcentral lists this ribosomal RNA (659 nucleotides) under uncultured archaeon. RNAcentral describes it as "bacterial SSU rRNA". It matches the Rfam family "Archaeal small subunit ribosomal RNA", at positions 82 to 725 of the family's 1478-position model. The record is from RNAcentral.